AAAAAAAAAAAAAAGUGCUAUAUAUAACAUUAUACUGUACCACACCGCACCACAUUUGUUUAUUUCAUUUAUUUGUCAUUAAUAAUGUUUGGAAAAAGAAUACACGACACACCCAACAUGAUAAUGACACCAGAAGUAUAUGAAGAAGAAGACAAAAAAAUAAAACAUGGUAAAAAACUUGUUAUUGAAAAUUGUGGAAAAUAUAUGAACAAGGAUAAAAAUGCAGGUGUUGUAUGUAAUAGAAUUAGUGAAUUAAAUUUAAACUCAAGAAAAAAUAUAUCGUUUGUAAAAACUGAUAGUUCUCAAAUGAAAGAUGUUUUAAAUCAUGCAGAGCAUAUAGAAUUAGAAAACAUACCUUCAAAAAGACCUUUAGUUUCUUACUCAAAAUAUGAUGACCAACAAAAAUAUUUUGAAACUAAGAUAAUACCAAAUGAAGAAGGAAAAAUGAGUAUAUAUGUAAAAAGAAAAGAUGGAAGUGCAACUGUUAAUAUUAAUAUAGACGAAUAUGAUCUGGAAAAAACAUAUCAUACAUGGAAAAGAAUUUUGGGUAAAACAUGUCCUCAUAUUAAAUCAAAUUUAGAGUUUGAUAGAUUCUUAACAGUAAAUGAAAAUGCUGAAAGAAGUGAUAAAAUGCCUAUCAUAAUUAAUCGAGGUAUACCACAUGCCAAUCCAGAUGGACCUUUUGAAAAAGAAAGGCUGGAUCAACCUAAACAAGCAAGAGAUCAUUUAGAUAGAACCCUGACACCUAUAAAUGAUAUUAAACCUAAAAUCUGUUUAAAAUUAAAUAAUGAUAAAUAUAAACAAUCAAAUAUAUUUCCAAAUUAUUAUCAACAACCUAACAAUAAUACUACUAGUAUGUUUAAUGAUAAUAGUAACUAUAGUGACAAUGAUAAUACGAAUUCAAAAAAUAAAAAAUUGGAAAGAACAGCUAACUAUUUAUGGAUGAACUCGAAUAGAAUUAAAAAUAUAUUAGCUCAUAAUUAUGAUGAUGAAGUUGAAGAAAAGUAUAAAAAUAGUCAUACUAAUUUUAAAGGAAAAUUAGAUAGUCAAAUAAAUAAUAAUCAACAAGGUGAUCGAAAUAUCAACAUUCAACCUCUUAUAACUGGUAAAAUUGGGGAAUUUAAUAUAUCUCAACAAGCUCCUACUGAAAUAAAUUAUAACACAUGUAAUGACUUACAUAGGGAACAAACUUGUCCAAGUAAUAGCAAUUUUUUACAUAAUAAUAACUAUCAUACAAAGUCUUACAAAAAUAAUGAGGAAUGUAAAAAUGUUGAUUAUUUAAAACCUGAACAAAAUUCUAUUUGUUCAUGUAGUAAUAAUAAUAAUAAUAAUAAUUGUAGUAGUAGUAGUAGUAAUAAUAAUAAUAAUAAUAAUAAUAAUAAUAAUAAUAAUAAUAAUAGUAGUAAUAGUAGUAACGAGAAAAAAAAUAAUUAUGAACAACAAAAUGGACCAUAUACACAACAUACAAAUAAUACUUAUUAUCAAACAUGUGAUAGACUGAUGUCACAAUAUGGGCAUGAGCAUGAACAUACACAUUAGAAAAAUUGUUUAUCUCAUUUUUAAUACAAAUAAAUGAUAGUAAUGUAAAAAAAAAAGAAAAAAA
RNAcentral lists this long non-coding RNA (1603 nucleotides) under Piliocolobus tephrosceles (Ugandan red Colobus). Its description in RNAcentral is "lncRNA (ENSPTEG00000004894.1)". Lineage: Eukaryota; Metazoa; Chordata; Mammalia; Primates; Cercopithecidae. The record is from RNAcentral.